RNAcentral lists this unclassified non-coding RNA (230 nucleotides) under Hevea brasiliensis (rubber tree). The record is from RNAcentral. Lineage: Eukaryota; Viridiplantae; Streptophyta; Magnoliopsida; Malpighiales; Euphorbiaceae.
UUCUUUGGUUAAAACAGAUUUUUCUCCCUUUACCUUAGUGAAGAAGAGUUCACCAAGAAUGGCUUCUUCUUCUUCAUUGGCACCUCUAUCUUUCUCUCUUUCCUCUGAAUUGCUUCCAUCACACAAACCCAAUUCUCUUUCAUGGUCUUCUUCAUUUCCCCAACUCAGAAUUUCUGCUUCUUCAAUUCCAUGCCCUUCAAAUCUCUCUUUUCACAAGAAAUUUGUCGUUG